Molecule: ribosomal RNA, 2091 nt
Filed under: Triticum aestivum (bread wheat)
Lineage: Eukaryota; Viridiplantae; Streptophyta; Magnoliopsida; Poales; Poaceae
Description: partial small subunit ribosomal RNA
Source: RNAcentral
AUGGGGCCCCCAGGAAGUUUUGUUGAGGGGGCGUCUGGCCCUGGUCUCCGGCCGCGGGGUGGUUUCCGCGGUCAUCGUGGUGGGCGUGGGGGUCGAGGUGGCCGGUACCGCCCACGACCGCAUACUACGUCUGUGAUUGAUCCGAUGGUGGUUGAUGGGGCUGUUGAGCAGCAGGUUUUGACUGGCCAAGCAUUGGAGGUGGUCUCGGCGCUUGCCAAUGCUGAGAUUCCCGGGAAUGAAUCCGGGUUGACUGUGUCAGUGGAGGAUUCUUCUAGGGCUGAGUCUGAAAGAGCAUCCAAAUAUGCGCGCAAGAAAGAGAAAAUGCUUUGUUAUCGAUGUGGUGGUAAGGGACAUUUUAUUGCUGAGUGUGUGGCUGAGCUGUGUGGCACUUGUGUCAAACCAGCACACGAUUCGGGGGACUGUCCAUUUCUGAGAGAUCAGGCACCAUCACUCAUGAUGCAUGGAGUGUACUGUGCUGAACUUACGUUCUUUGAAUCUCCAACGGAGAUGGAGGUUCCUGACGAGACUUUGAGUUUGACGACUGGGUUAGUUAAGAUUGCUAGAGGAGAGGUCUUGGAGGCACAGAUUAUUCAGAGGCUCAAGGAGUUAGCCCCUGGGGAUUUCAGGUGGGAGCUUGCUAGUGUCGAGGACAAACUGUUUCUGGUUGAGUUCCCGUCAGUUGAGGAACUUCAGAGACUACUGAGUUUCGGGAUGUGCAAGGUGCCAGGUACUGAUGGCAUGCUUGAGUUUCACGAGUGGAAGAGGAUUGAGCCUACGGGCAAGCCUCUGACUCAGGUUUGGCUGCGAUUCUCUGGGGCUCCAUCCAAGCUGAUGCGGGAUGCACGGGUAGUGGCCAGUUUGGGUAUCAUGGUGGGCAGACCAGAGCGCAUGGAUAUGGACUUUACCAGAGCCCACGGGAUUGCCCGUUUACUGGUCAGUGUGCUGAACAUCGAGUACGUCCCUGAGGUGGUUAAGUGGGCAUAUCGAGGCCACAUAUAUAACCUUGUCAUUGAGUUCGAGGAUGAGAGUCUGUUUGCCGAGGCGGCCAACGGGUCUGAUACUGAUAUGCACGAGGAUGAUGAUAGUUCGGCACUUAAGGAGGCACCAACAGCUGACAGUGGGCGUGAGUUGUCCACUCCGCAGGGUGCUGACUCUCACACGUCUGUGGAUGUGACGGCUCCUCCUUCUACAGUGCCUACGACUAUUCUCAGAUUCAGUUCUUUCGAGCCGGCAUCUGCACCCCCGAGACUAUGGAGUGAUCGGGUGGAGUCUGAUGAGGUGUUCGAGCACUCGCUCCCAGUUCUGGAGCUUGAGGAGCCAGUGAUUCCUCUUCUUGGGGAGUUGUCGAUCUCGGUCAGGGCUGAGGCGGAGGAGGUCGUUCUUGUAGGAGAGGGUCUGAAGCUGGUGACUUCGGAUUCCUCCCCUCUGGUCGCGAUUUCGCAGGUGCAGCCGAUGGUGCCGGCUGCUGAUGGGGGUGUGGGGCAGGUGGCCUCGGUGCCCUCAUCAGGGCCUGCGGUGGGUGAGCUACCGAUGGUGCAGAUUGAUUCUUUGGGAGGGAGGCCGAGGCUGCUAGAUCCGGCACCUUCUUCCCCUUUUACCGGGCCGGCGACGCUGGCGCCGGAGUCGCUUCUCGGAGAGGACUCGGGGAAGGUGGCCUCGGGGUCCUCUUCUCUUGUGGAGCCCAAAGGGGCUUGCUCGCCGAUGCCGCUGGUGCCGCCAGUUGGCCCUUGGGCCGGGGUGGAUGGGGAGCUCGGGCAGGAGGCCCUGGCUCCACCUUCCCCCGGCUUGGGGCACUCCAGUAGAGCUUCUCGGGAGGAGGUGAUUUCUUUCGGUGGUAUUCCGGAUCCGGUCUCUGAGGGGCAACGGUUGAGUAGCUGUUUCCAGGACCAUCCGAAAGUGGACGACAUUCAGCAGCGGUGCGCUAUGAGGGCGGCCAAGCUUCAUGACGUGGAGGUCACUACUGGUUUUAUUUCGGGCUACUGCGCUAAUCCGUAUGUGGUCCUUACUCACUCCGACGGAGGCCAGGGAGCGUUUGGUUACUGGAUCUGUCCGGUGGGAGAUGGUAGCACGGGAUAUCUUCAACCGGUUUAG